AGCGAACGCUGGCGGUAGGCCUAACACAUGCAAGUCGAACGGAUCCUUCGGGAUUAGUGGCGGACGGGUGAGUAACACGUGGGAACGUGCCCUUUGGUUCGGAACAACCCAGGGAAACUUGAGCUAAUACCGGAUGUGCCCUUCGGGGGAAAGAUUUAUCGCCAUUGGAGCGGCCCGCGUCUGAUUAGCUAGUUGGUGAGGUAACGGCCCACCAAGGCGACGAUCAGUAGCUGGUCUGAGAGGAUGAUCAGCCACACUGGGACUGAGACACGGCCCAGACUCCUACGGGAGGCAGCAGUGGGGAAUCUUGCGCAAUGGGCGAAAGCCUGACGCAGCCAUGCCGCGUGAAUGAUGAAGGUCUUAGGAUUGUAAAAUUCUUUCAGCGGGGACGAUAAUGACGGUACCCGCAGAAGAAGCUCCGGCUAACUUCGUG
Molecule: ribosomal RNA, 433 nt
Filed under: uncultured bacterium
Lineage: Bacteria
Description: partial 16S ribosomal RNA
Rfam family: Bacterial small subunit ribosomal RNA
Source: RNAcentral